Molecule: ribosomal RNA, 219 nt
Filed under: uncultured eukaryote
Lineage: Eukaryota
Description: partial 18S ribosomal RNA
Source: RNAcentral
UCGUGGAGUGAUCUGUCUGCUUAAUUGCGUUUCAGAUUAUAAUACAACUAUUGAACUAUAUACAUUGUAUACUUCAUUGUAUACUAAUUGUAAGUCAACUGUUGUUGUUGAAAGCAACGAACGUGACCUCAACUCAAUGUUGGUACAUAUACUAUUGUACUAUUAAACUUUGAGGACUGCCAGGGUUGGUCAACCCGGAGGAAGGUUGAGGCAAUAACA